This 298-nucleotide long non-coding RNA is filed under the name Populus trichocarpa (black cottonwood). RNAcentral describes it as "long non-coding RNA (PTRI_LNC001189)". The record is from RNAcentral. Lineage: Eukaryota; Viridiplantae; Streptophyta; Magnoliopsida; Malpighiales; Salicaceae.
AACUGUAAUCUAUACCAGUACAGUAAUUGUGACCAUCAGUCCAGCCACUCCUCCAUUUGUCCAUCUCCUUUUCUCCUCAAUCCCACCGGGACUACCAUUGACAGCCAAGACCAUCUUCUUCCCUCUUCCCCGUGACAGCCUCCAUAACAGAAUCAGCAUCACAACAGCCCACAAACAAACUCAACCUUAACCCAGCACCGCCAUUCUUCCUCUCGUGACCAACCACUGAUUUCAACCGACCUCCUAACCACCACGUGAUGAACAGUCGCAAAAUCAGUAGAGAGAGACGAAACCAAGA